This 503-nucleotide ribosomal RNA is filed under the name Pseudomonas sp. LS64. RNAcentral's name for it is "bacterial SSU rRNA". It matches the Rfam family "Bacterial small subunit ribosomal RNA", at positions 57 to 554 of the family's 1533-position model. Lineage: Bacteria; Pseudomonadati; Pseudomonadota; Gammaproteobacteria; Pseudomonadales; Pseudomonadaceae. The record is from RNAcentral.
GAGAGUCGAGCGGUAGAGAGAAGCUUGCUUCUCUUGAGAGCGGCGGACGGGUGAGUAAUGCCUAGGAAUCUGCCUGGUAGUGGGGGAUAACGUUCGGAAACGGACGCUAAUACCGCAUACGUCCUACGGGAGAAAGCAGGGGACCUUCGGGCCUUGCGCUAUCAGAUGAGCCUAGGUCGGAUUAGCUAGUUGGUGGGGUAAUGGCUCACCAAGGCGACGAUCCGUAACUGGUCUGAGAGGAUGAUCAGUCACACUGGAACUGAGACACGGUCCAGACUCCUACGGGAGGCAGCAGUGGGGAAUAUUGGACAAUGGGCGAAAGCCUGAUCCAGCCAUGCCGCGUGUGUGAAGAAGGUCUUCGGAUUGUAAAGCACUUUAAGUUGGGAGGAAGGGUUGUAGAUUAAUACUCUGCAAUUUUGACGUUACCGACAGAAUAAGCACCGGCUAACUUUUUUGCCAGCAGCCGGGGUAAUACAGAGGGUGCAAGCGUUAAUCGGAAUUAC